This is a long non-coding RNA of Papaver somniferum (opium poppy), 1717 nucleotides long. RefSeq lists it as uncharacterized. The record is from RefSeq and is a predicted model, not a curated record. Lineage: Eukaryota; Viridiplantae; Streptophyta; Magnoliopsida; Ranunculales; Papaveraceae. The transcript is spliced from 7 exons.
AAAAUUUUUAAUUUGGAAAACAAUCUUCCCGGAAAGAAAAUCCUGAGAGAGAUUUUUUUUUCUUUUUUCUCAUAACCCUAAUAUUGUUUCCCACCGCCCACAACUCUCUUCUCCACCACCUUCCUUCUCUUCCAGAAGUUUAACAGAAGAUCGAUUUGAUUAAUUUGAUCAACAGGGUUUUUUUAUGUGUAGGUAAUAAGUUUCUCUAUUUUCCUAUUUUUCAUAAAAAAAUCUCUGCGAAAAAUCUCACAUCUUCUUCUUCUUCCAUUAUUUGGCAAUCCCACAUAUAUCCAGUAUCAUCAACAACAUCAGGUAGUCAAUUUAUACUUUCAAGAUCCAGGUGAUGUUUUUGUUCUUAUCAUAACUGUCGAACUCUAUGUUUAUUUGUAGGAUUGCUGUGUACAAAGCACUCUACACAUUUGGAAGUUAUAUGUCUGAUGUCAUGGCUGCAGUUGACCAGUUAAUUUGGUCGAAAAAAUUCGGCAAUUUGAUUUAUCUUAGUUAUGAUUUACAAAACUAAUUGAUGCUUCUGAAAAGGAUUUAUGUUUCUGAACAAUAACUUCCUCUUUGCAUGUUAGUAAAGUAUGCACUUAUAUUUGCUACUCGGAAUUAAUUUAUUGAGCCUCCAAUAAUUUUCAAAUUUUAUCAAUCACAAUAAGAUAUCCAACAGUUCUACCCAAAUCACUGUUCAUCCUGAAUUCAUAGGUUGUCUAUCAUUAUGAUUAUUGGCGGUUUUGAAAAAGCUUCCAAGAUAACCAGUAUUGUUCAUAUGCAUGUGAAGUAUAGAUGUUACCUGUUACAGAUACUUGAUUAGUAAUCCAUAUUCAUACUAAGUUUGUUUGUCGUCAAUAAUGGAACUAUAUUCUUUCCUUUUUGAGUAACGGCUAAGCAUUCAUUCCAUAUUACUACUGAUUGUUUAUAUUAUUGUGAUAUCCUUAUAACCCUGCUUUAAUCUCAAAACCGUGUUCGCGUCUUCUUACAUAAUUCUAUGUAUUAGUUUUAUAUGUGGUUUCAGGUGAUAAGUUCUAUUACGAGUUGGAAUUCAAUUGGAAUCGAAUAUUGCUACAAUGGCCAAAAUCCUUUGCCUGCACCUUUCUUAGAAAUUGCAAAGCAGUCUCCAUGGGUUGGUACAAAGAUAGAGAUGAUGUUCUGUGGAGAUCCACUAAUUCCUAUCAUUGUUACUCCUCUGGGCCGUGUAGACCCAAUUAGUAAUUUCAGUACAAUCGUAGUAUUAUGAGUUAUAUAUUCAACUGGAAUAUGGUAUGAGUACACCAACCGGUACAGGGGUCAAUCUUAUAAUGGUUGGAAUGGUUUGGGUGAACUGUUUCAAGGGCGCCUUUAUGAUGGAACCAUUAGGUGUUAAAUAAUGCAAUGCCGGCGAAGACUGUACCGAGAGAGGUCUUCAAAUACGGUACUGAGGAGGCGUUGCUUCUUCUUUCUGCCUGUAACGUGAUUACUUUGUAAAUUUUCUGCAUAAUACUGUAAAAUUCGUGGCAACUAUUUAAUUUUUUCACUGUUUAAUUCGGGCUCCUCGAACCAAGGAACGUUGCGGCAUCACCUUGAAGCUGCCCACCAAUUUGUCGGCUCUACAACAUUGCCAUCACCUCUGCAUUCUAAUAUUUCUAUUUUAUUUUCAAAUUUAGCUGAUAAAAACACCAGGAUUCCCUAUUGUUUGUCUGAUAUAUCAAGUUGAAAUAUACCAAAAGUUAUAAUGAAA